RNAcentral lists this unclassified non-coding RNA (527 nucleotides) under Hevea brasiliensis (rubber tree). The record is from RNAcentral. Lineage: Eukaryota; Viridiplantae; Streptophyta; Magnoliopsida; Malpighiales; Euphorbiaceae.
UUCAGAGUUUGGACACCAUACAGGUAACGUAUCUCUGUUCUGUAAUGUUGAAUACUACCUUUGGUUAAUGUAGGUCGGAAAAAAUCAUGCUGCUUCAUCAUUUAUACCAUAUAGUGAAUUGGGUGCUAACUAUUUUGUGCAGGAUAUAUUUAGAUAGUUUUCUAAAGGAUAUAGUUAGAUUAUAUAGAUGUGGAUUUCAAAUGAUGAGGUAUUCGAAUUUGAUGUCGUGUUGAAACUUUAUGGUAUUUCAUUUGAAAGUUGAAACACAAAUACUGAUUCACAUUCAUCCAAAUGGACCCUAAAUUUAUUGCUGGAGAAAAUUAAAUAAAUAUAUAUUAUUUAUUUUCUCAUUUUUCUGUUGAAGUAGAGUCCAAAAUCUAUGCAAACUAUAUGUAACAGGAGUUCUUCAAUCUACUUUUCAUAAGUUUCAAGUGUGAAUGUAACUUGGGAUUCACCAUAUUAGCUCUUAUAUUGUUUCACGACUUCAAUUUUCUUCACAUUCUCAGGGAACAAAGAAAAAGCAUUUG